CAUUUUUCUUCUUACUGGAGGACAGUCGACACACGCACAUAUUGCUUAGGAUCUUGGUUAAAGCUCUAAAUUUUGGGUCGUAUUCAAUUCAAACGAAUAAUUAACUAAUAAGUUUCGAGGGCUUUCUUCAAUUCUUCACACUUAAAUUACUAGCUUUUCGGUGUUGGCGUCGAUGAAGGUUUAAAGCCUCUUUCCUUCAACACCGAAAAGCU
RNAcentral lists this unclassified non-coding RNA (212 nucleotides) under Hevea brasiliensis (rubber tree). Lineage: Eukaryota; Viridiplantae; Streptophyta; Magnoliopsida; Malpighiales; Euphorbiaceae. The record is from RNAcentral.